RNAcentral lists this ribosomal RNA (253 nucleotides) under uncultured bacterium. Its description in RNAcentral is "partial 16S ribosomal RNA". It matches the Rfam family "Bacterial small subunit ribosomal RNA", at positions 524 to 776 of the family's 1533-position model. The record is from RNAcentral.
UACGUAGGGUGCGAGCGUUAAUCGGAAUUACUGGGCGUAAAGCGUGCGCAGGCGGUUGUGCAAGACAGAUGUGAAAUCCCCGGGCUCAACCUGGGAAUUGCAUUUGUGACUGCACGGCUAGAGUGUGUCAGAGGGGGGUAGAAUUCCACGUGUAGCAAUGAAAUGCGUAGAGAUGUGGAGGAAUACCGAUGGCGAAGGCAGCCCCCUGGGAUAACACUGACGCUCAUGCACGAAAGCGUGGGGAGCAAACAGG